Molecule: long non-coding RNA, 831 nt
Organism: Eleginops maclovinus (Patagonian blennie)
Lineage: Eukaryota; Metazoa; Chordata; Actinopteri; Perciformes; Eleginopidae
Exons: 2
Source: RefSeq, a predicted model, not a curated record
GGAAAAUUCCCGAUGUCAAAACCCUCCAGUGUGCAGACACAGACGUUGUUGACAGUACGAAGAGUGGAACCUGUCUACCUCAAAAUCCAGGCUAUUACUUUACACUGAACAACUUGAUCUGUUUCAAAAGGACUGGUGUGGAUAUAAGUCUAGGGGACUCUGGUGGAGGAGUGGUGUUCAACGGCAUGAAUUACGGAGUCAUUUCUUUCACAGGCAAUGGUAGAAUGGCCUGUGUUGCACCAGGGUGCUGCUACCGACCAUUUGUGAAUACAAAGAUUGGAUCACUCACAUUACCGGGAUUCCUAUCCCAACAACAUGUCCAACCUGUAAAUGGAAUUGUCUAAAUUGUUUUAAAGGGUGAGAGGUCGUGUUAUUUAGCAGACCUUCAGAUCUACUAAAACCCUCUGAUUGGCUCUAAAUUGGCUGAUGAUACAUUUACAAUAGGUUGGUUUACAUUAAAUAUCCAACUCUCAUUAGAAAAGCUCUUGAAGAUCAUUUCAAAAGGAAGCGUCUGAGUUAUAAAUGUUAGUUUAACUUUAUUGAUGCAAACUUUUGUUACGGUACAAAAUAAAGACGUAUCUUUUCCCCUUUUUGAAUUUAAACUUGGAUUUAAUUGUAGAAUAUAACCUUUAAUCAACAGAGAUUGCAGGAUAUGGUACAGAUAGUAUUUUAAAAGCAACUCAUGCAAAUAUGAAGGUGUUUCUUUUGAACAGGCUGAUCUCAUGCUCUGCCGGCAGCUCUAAAGUAAUGCAUGUCAUUCGUAUGUUUCCCACAAAAUCAACUCCUUGUUGAAUGUUGUCAUUUAAAGUAAAUAAAGAGCCGUCUUCAUUA